AUUAUUUCUCAAGGAAGCACAAAAUACUUAAUUGGAUUCUUCGCCAUCCACAUUUCUUGGAAUGAAGUCGCUUAACUGUGGAGAAAGGUGAUCGGCAUCUAUUUCCAACUCCUCAAUCAAGCCCAUUGGAGACGGGGAUCGAUCUAGAAAAGGAGGUUGUGCUCGCAUCGUCCUGAAAAUCAAUGGGACUCUCCUCUGCCUCUUCUUCACUUUCAUGUGCAAGAUCCUUCGACUCCUCCACAUUGUUCGGAUGGGUAUCGUGAUCGUCGAUGAUGAUCUCGGGGAAGCUAAGAAUAUUUUCAUUCUUGACUGAACUAUUGGCUUCAAACUGAACUUCCAAUGAUGGUUCACUUGGUGCAAGCUCUAUCAAGACCUCCUCUUCGUGACAAAUCCAGGUGGCAGAAGAAACCCAUAUCCAUGUGCUGGAAUCGGAUCCAUUCCCCUCCACUUGUUGCCAGAAUGAUAAUUGAUUGUUUAAAUUCAUUUUGUCAGGAAAAUGAAUCACACACAGGACCACUUCUUAAGAUUAGAAUGACGUUUGAAGUAAAUGUCACAUAACGAAUAUGCGAAUUUAUGUACUUUUACAUUAGGAUUUUUAGUUUUGAUUAUCCGCCAUGGAAAAGUUUCGAGAGCAUGGGGUCUUACUCUUGAGUAAUCAUUACACUUGCGAGCUGACCACUGCAUCAAGCAUUUAUGCAAGACGUUGACAAUUUAAUGUAGAUGUUCUUCCAUUUGACCAAGAUGGGACUCCACUUGUCUAUAGUAGUAACGGUAGUAACCUUUCAUACUCUUUCUGCAUGAAACUCCCCAAUCAACAAUCUGUUACUUAAGUUGCCUUAAAGUUCGCAGAAGAUUGAGUUCAAUCUCAUUUGGCAUUUUCCUGAUUCCCCUAGUCAGUGUUAUUCGAUUUUAACGUUUUGUACAUGAAUAAACAUGAUUGUAAUCAUA
Tigriopus californicus is the source of this 948-nucleotide long non-coding RNA. RefSeq lists it as uncharacterized. The transcript has 2 exons. NCBI's taxonomy places the organism in Eukaryota, Metazoa, Arthropoda, Copepoda, Harpacticoida, Harpacticidae. The record is from RefSeq and is a predicted model, not a curated record.